AAAUGCGAGCUAUGGGUCCUUUUUUCUAAUACUUGCAGAAGAUUUCAGCCCCGGCCACGAUGUUUGCUGUCAGCGGAUGGAAAAGUCUUCCUCAAUUUAUGGUUCAUACCCCAUUCUUCUGAAGUGCUGGUUAUAUUCAAAACUCUGCCAGAAAAGGCAGCUUUUAAAGCCUUAAAGCGAACUCUACAGCUGAUAGCUCCUCUGCAUGAUAUCGUGGCCUACCUUGUCAGUUUUGCUAAGCUUGGCAAUUGUCCAGCAUGUUUUGAAUUUCCUGUAAGUCCCAACCCUUCAAGAGGUGACUGGGGAGGAACUGAGGGCAUUGGGUCUGAGCUUCAAGAGCUGCAGAACAUGAUUGACAGCCUCCGGAGUCCCCAAGACCCUACCCGUGUGGCCCAGGCACUCCUCCUCCGGAGGGAGGUUAUGUUUUUGCAUUUUGACACUGCAGUAAGGCAUCUCAUCCGAAGAACAUUUUUGGCAGCUGGAAAUGUUCCUGCCUACCAGUCUGUCACAGACGGCAUGUGCCAUGGGCUACCAGCACUGAGCAACUCUCUCAGGAAGAGCAUUUUUGCCUCGCAGCUCAGCCUGCCCCAGCCACUGGAUCCACGGAGCCUCCAGGCAUUUGAGCUGUUUCCUUGGAGAGCAUUUCUGGAAGAUGGAGGACCAUUCCCAGUUAUGAGUAGCAGCCCAGAUACCCUAGAAUAUAAUAUGCAGGUAGGAUAGGUCUUCUCCAUUGUUGCAGAGAGAACUGAGUGCCAACUGCGAAGAUGGUUGCCAUUGGGUUCACAGGUCAGAUCCUCCUACUCUCACCCACAAUGAAUAAUGUGUGAGAUAAGCAGGGUGUUUGAUUUUUGAGGCUGUAAACCCGGGGCCACGAGGUGAGUCACAUUUUCUUAUGAUAAAAGGGAAGCAUGCUCUCAACUGGCAUGGACCUGGGUUGUAGACUCAGCUGCAGUUUUCGUAACAGUAGUAAUCUGGGAGAAUGGCCAGUCAUCUCCAGUCAUGGGCUGGGCCUCUUAGAGACACUUCCAGGCUGGCGGCUCAGAGAUGUGUCCUGUCCAUAAACAGUGGUGGGAAGGGAACUUUUUAAAGCAGGACUCGUAGGGAGAAUUUCUUUUCAUUGUUUUCUUUUUUGCUGUUAACUUCCUUUAAAUUGUUAGAUUUUUUCAUUAUUAAAUGUUUUCCCCUGAUUAU
This 1191-nucleotide small RNA is filed under the name Pongo abelii (Sumatran orangutan). RNAcentral's name for it is "processed transcript". Lineage: Eukaryota; Metazoa; Chordata; Mammalia; Primates; Hominidae. The record is from RNAcentral.